RNAcentral lists this ribosomal RNA (536 nucleotides) under uncultured bacterium. Its description in RNAcentral is "partial 16S ribosomal RNA". It matches the Rfam family "Bacterial small subunit ribosomal RNA", at positions 355 to 901 of the family's 1533-position model. The record is from RNAcentral.
UGGGGAAUAUUGCACAAUGGGCGAAAGCCUGAUGCAGCGACGCCGCGUGAGGGAUGACGGCCUUCGGGUUGUAAACCUCUUUCAGCAGGGAAGAAGCGAAAGUGACGGUACCUGCAGAAGAAGCGCCGGCUAACUACGUGCCAGCAGCCGCGGUAAUACGUAGGGCGCAAGCGUUGUCCGGAAUUAUUGGGCGUAAAGAGCUCGUAGGCGGUUAGUCGCGUCUGCUGUGAAAACUCGAGGCUCGACCUCGGGCUUGCAGUGGGUACGGGCCGACUAGAGUGCGGUAGGGGUGACUGGAAUUCCUGGUGUAGCGGUGGAAUGCGCAGAUAUCAGGAGGAACACCGAUGGCGAAGGCAGGUCACUGGGCCGCAACUGACGCUGAGGAGCGAAAGCAUGGGGAGCGAACAGGAUUAGAUACCCUGGUAGUCCAUGCCGUAAACGUUGGGCACUAGGUGUGGGGUCCAUUCCACGGAUUCCGUGCCGCAGCAAGCGCAUUAAGUGCUCCGCCUGGAGAGUACGGCCGCAAGGCUAAACUC